This 89-nucleotide transfer RNA is filed under the name Staphylococcus aureus. RNAcentral's name for it is "tRNA-Ser". It matches the Rfam family "tRNA". Rfam says of the family: Transfer RNA (tRNA) molecules are approximately 80 nucleotides in length. Their secondary structure includes four short double-helical elements and three loops (D, anti-codon, and T loops). The record is from RNAcentral. Lineage: Bacteria; Bacillati; Bacillota; Bacilli; Caryophanales; Staphylococcaceae.
GGAAGGUUGUCCGAGCUGGCCGAAGGAGAACGCCUGGAAAGUGUGUAGGCGUCACAAGCGUCUCAAGGGUUCGAAUCCCUUACCUUCCG